Molecule: non-coding RNA, 7827 nt
Organism: Xyrichtys novacula (pearly razorfish)
Lineage: Eukaryota; Metazoa; Chordata; Actinopteri; Labriformes; Labridae
Source: the annotation of a GenBank genome assembly
GUGAAUUGCACAGUCCUGUCAAAAGUUUGCCAGUAUGAAGUCAUCUUGCACGAUGUUAUAAGGCUGUUUAAGGAUGUCUGUCUGUAAGUAUUCUAUUGUCACAAGAUGUUGCAAUAUGUUACAUGCUCACAUGAAGCACCUUAAGUUGUUUUAUGUCUAAAAAGUCGGAGGAAAAUGGGACGCUAAUAGCGCUAGCAACCCUAUGGGUUUUUCAAUGUAAAUUAGCAUCAUGCUAACCGCUUGUGAUUUGUGUGUUCAUUCAGUUGUGACCUGGCCUGCAUUUCUGUUUUACGUGCAUUUAGUCUAUAUGACUGCUGGAUUUACAGUGUGUAUGUGGAUUCCUUUAAGAGUUAGAGCUUAAGUUGUAGUGAAUACUGCUGCGAGCUAUUUGUGCCAGUUAUUUAGGGGCAUAUCUCAGUGAUCGCCCUCUAAUAUUUAAAGUAAAUGAUGAUGCAUAAGUAGGACUGUCAUUAUGUCACAUAGCAUCCAAACAGGGAAGGACUUUUUGAUUCAUUCAGAAGUGUAUUCCUGUUUGCAUCCUCAACAGAUGCAUUAAAUAGCAGUAGUACCCAUACAAAGUCCUUCCCUCUUUAACUUUUAUGUGGGUAUGUCCUUCUUACUUAUUUGAAGGUCCAGUGACACUGCCAAAGCUCAUUUGUUGUGGUUUCUUUGUUUGUUUUCUUUAUUUCUGUGAAUCUUUUUUUGUUGCAGGUUGUUGUGUUAACACAUAUGAUCGUUUCUAGGAGGGGUGAGAAUCAGUGGACACCCCACAAUACGAUAUUAUCACAAUACUUGGGCCACAAUUCGAUACUAUUGCGUUACAGUGUGUAUUGCAAUACCAUAUAUGCCAUGAUAUGUUCUGUUGAUUUAGUUUUUCACUGGUUUUGUUUUUUUAGUGUAUUUUCUGUGUCUUUCCCUAGUGCUUCAUUCCUUUUCAUUCCUGUUCCCCUGUAGUCCAGUCUUGUGAGUUUUCAGUUUGUGUUUGACCCUGUCUCCCCCCUGUCAGUGUUUUAUUCUUUAGAUAAGGUUUUGGUGUUUCCUGUUUUAUUUUGUAGUAGUUAAACUUUGUGUUUCUAGUCUGGUUUUAUUCCCCUAGUUUUCCCUCCUUCGUUAAUCACUCAUGAGUUUCACCUGUGUCUCGUUUGCCUCACCUGUUGCUCGUUUCCCAAUGUGUAUAUUGACCCUGUCUUCCCCUCUGUCCUUGUUGGUUUAUUGUAUGUCGAUGAGUAUGCCUGUGUCCCCAGUUGCUCCCUGUGAUUUUGCCCCAGUGAUUUUUGUGGAUUUUGUCUUUUGGAUUUUUCUCUAUUGUUGCUUUUUUCAUCUAGUUCUUUUAAUUAAAUCCUUUGUUCUGAAUUUGAGUCUUGUCCGUUUAACCCUGUGCGGUGAUAAUUUUUUCAGCUACUUAGCUGAUUUGGCAUUUGUCUUUCCUUUAUGUUGCCUUAUUUACAUAGUAUUUUAUUUUUGUUUAGCACUUCUUGCAAACUUCAUAUGUCAUGUCCAUCUCAUUUGUGCCCUGCUUGUAUUCCUUAUGUCCCUCGCCAGGUGCUGUUUGUUUUACUAACUUUCUCCUUCUCUAUGAUGUCACUUAACAAACACACAAUUGAUUUUAUUUUUCCAUUAUCAUUGACUUGAGUUCAUAUUAGCAAUUAGUUUGAAAAAAUUGAUACUUGGUGAGUGAGACGAUACGAUAUAUCACCAGACAAAAUAUCCCAAUACUGUAUCGAUUUUUUCUCCCACUCCUAGUUUCUGGUCGGUUGUGUUUUUUCCUACCCCCUGUCUUCUUCUUCUUUGCCUUUUCAAACAGUAAGUUUUGUGCUCUUGAAGUGAAUUUAGAGUACCAGCAAAAUAUUUCCCACGUUAACUUUAGAUGCUAUUGGUUUGAAAAUCUCUAUGUCAUAAUGGAAGAGUUGAAACCAACUGCACACUAGAUGUGUAAUAUGUCUUAGCAGGUUGUCUCUACCAUUGCUUUUGCUACACCAAUCAGAAUUUGAGAUUUAAAUAAAGUUGUGGUUACUAAAAAAAAAGCUGGGUAGUAAAAGUUGCAUUUAUCCUAAAUCAUCUUCUUCCUUUUGAUCUAUGUUGAAUAUUUUAAGAACAGCUCAGCGACAAUGCCCACUUACAUUUUCAUACCAGUGAGUUUUAUUGUGUAGCCUAACUCAUGGGGUCAACACAAACUCACUAUUGUUACUGUUUGUUGCCUUGUACAGAAAUUAAAUCUUUCCAGAUAAAUGGCACAGAUUCCCUCUCUUUCUGUCUUUCUUGGGGCUGAACCUCACAGACUUUUUUUUUUUUAAAUACCAUUUCCCUCUCAGGCUUUGGUAGUCUCAUUACUUCUUUAAAUAGAAUUAAAAUAGCUGAGGGGUCUUUGCUCAGCUGUGCGGAUUUAAACCUGCAGUUUGCAGCUCUUGUUUGAUUUCUGGACCAUUAUAUUAUUAGUUUUAAUCAGCCAUGAAAAAGGUUUGAAGCUCUACAUUUCUGCUUAUCAAGGGAAAUUUGAUGAAAUAUACCUGUGCUCUGAAAAACACCAUUAAGAACAACUUCUAAGUAAUUAAAAGCAACUGCUUCUCAAUUAUUUAUCAUAAAAGAAUCAAUCAGGAUUGAUAGAUAAAAGUUGUUAUUAGGAUAUUGAUUUAGAUGGAUUCAUUCUGCCUGUCUUCAUCAAGCUAAAUGAGCUGAAUCAGACCAAAUAUUUGAUAUAAAAAAGUAAAGCAAACAAAAAUACUAUUAUAUUAAUUAUUACCGAUAAUCUUUUGACACCAGCUACUUUCCUCAUAGGCUCAUCAUCCCCCUCUACCCCCAGCAUCCUUAUUUCCCCUAUCCUCCCAGUAACCUCAUUCCACAUCCCACAGAAGUGCUGACUGCUUAUGCCAAGCAUAAACAUAAGAAGAUGACAAACAUGACAAAGGAACUGACUGAUAUGAAUGAUUUCAUACGAUUUGGUCGAUAAUAAACCAAUACAGAAGGCUAGUCCUCUCAGCGUUGAAGCGACAUCAUUUGAAUGCAACUAAAUCCCCUGGGUGGGGAGCACCACAACGAAAGUUGAAAGCGGCAACAGAUGUUGGAGAUGAAGCUGGGAGAUAAUGACUGGUUUCCCAAGGCUUGAUUGCAGCCAUUCACAUUCAGACUGCUGAGGUCAAAACUUGGUCCUUGCUCUUAACAAAAGCUGCAGUAAAGUGUUGUUUUUUUUGUUUUUUAAUUCAGUGCACGAACGCUGGUUGGGAGGUUCAGAUAAAGAAAGUAUAUUGCCACCUCGAGCUCUACACAGAAUUUCAUUGUUUAGUAACUGGAAAACCCUUUCCCCUAAAAACCCAGUUUGAAUAAACGCAUGUAAAGCACUCUAAACAAAGAGUCUGAUUUUCAUCAUAGGUUUACUGAUCUGUGUUGAAUUGUUGUGUAAUAACAGAGUAAGAGAUGCAGCCAGCUGACAGCAGCAUGACAGGUAUUAUUUAUGUUCAUGGAUGAUGGAGGAGCUGUCAUUUUGAAUAGGCAUCAUAUUGAAGGAUGUGAGUGUGAAUUCAGCUGAUGAGGAAAAUAGUAGCACUUCAUCCCAAAUAUUUCACCAAAACAAAAAUGUCCCCCAUGACUAAAAAUGGAAAGAAGGAACAUUUAGAUCUGUGUGUCCGCUGACUCCCUUAUGAGGCCCUGACUGACCGCUACAUCACAUAUACUGACCCAAACCAUUGUUUUCAACUAAUCAGCAAGUCUCAAGUCUUUUGUUUAUCACUCCACUUUGUAAAGCGACCCUGGGUUCUUUAAAAACACUAUAUAAAUUCAGUGUAUUAUUAUUAGUAUCAAGUCUUAUUGAGUUUUGGGUCAACCCAGAGGUCAAAACCAACCCUCUUAAAGUUUAAGUGUUUACAUAAACACCUCGGUUCAUCCAAGAAAUAAUAUUGAUUCUCGGAGAGUGCAUUAUUAUUUUGGUUAAAGAGUCCUCUGUGAUUAUAGGUCAACAUUUUCCUCAGGUGGUGCCAAAGAGGUCAAUGAGAGGAUGCCCUGGGCUGACUCAUGACUUUAAUGAUUUUAAAUUCCUGGCUGCAGCUCUGCAAAAUUAACUGAAAUACAUUUGAUUAUUUUUUAGUGUUUUUUUUUUUUCUUUUUUAAUGUUAUUUGGAUGCAAUAAUCAAAAACCUGCAGUCACAUUUGCGUUAAACAGAGAAAUACAGAUGCACUUACAAUAUUUUACGGACUAUAACGGUUCUUUCACACCGGGAGCUUUUUUUUUUUUUGUGCAAUUAUUUCGGACGUCAAUAUAUUUUUUCAAACCCAUAUUCUGUCAAUACAAGCGUUCACAUCAGCAACGAUUUCUCGUCCUGCGAUAAUGUGGCAUUUAUUUUUUCGGAUCAUGGUUGAUUUUUCUGAAGGUUCACAUACUGUGUGUCCCCUUCUGACCAAUCAGAUUGCGUGUUGUUGCGACAUCUGAUUCACUGGUAUAUCCAACAUGGCCGACUGGCUGAUUGUUAACGUGACGGAGAACAGAGUGCUUUUUGAUAAAAGACACAAAUGUUACAAAGAAAACAACCUGAAGGACAAGUUAAAGGAGAGUCAUAGCGUCUGAUUUCUCAUAUGACGGUGGUUUAUUUACUUUCACAGUUUGCUAAACGUCUUUGUUUUAACUUUCAUCUGUGCUAAGUAACUUUAGCUCGUAAGCUAACCUGUUCAGAUACAACAUACCAUAUGUAUUUUCACUGUUUCAAACUCGAUCACGUUGCUGUCACAGCACCAUUAGGUCUUGUUUGUUACCUUAGGUUUAUGGAUUAUAGUUUAAUGUGCUUAUCUGGUACUGGCCCCGACUCAGUACAUGCUAUCAUGACAGACAGACAUCUCAACACUAGUGUCUAAUCAGAACUGAAAAACAGUCAGUCUGCUGUUGUGUCAGUCUUCUCACUUUCACCCGGGAUGUGUCUUUUUUCCCCCCAGAAAGUCGCAAAAUCGCAUCGGGCUUGAUAGUCAGGCGCGUCAAAAUUCGCCUUCGAAUAUUUCGUAAUUUCAAGUCAUAUAUUUGCGUCGGUCCCUGUGUGUAAGGACCUUAAUUCGCGCUUUUUUUCAUAGUUUGAUUGGGUUUGCGACAUACUCAGGUGUGAUUUACAUAUAUUAAAAUAUAUAAUUUCACAUGUUUGUUAUUUUCACACUGACAGCCGCUAGAGGGCACUCUAGUUGUUCAGAAGUGACACAGAGGAUGAGGAAUUCGAUGGAUUUUGUGAUUUUGAGUGAGAUCAAGAGUUUGGUAAACUUGUUUUGUUAUGUUCUGUAUACUACAGUUAUCUGAAUAUGUUAUGUUAACAUACCAGACACGUAUUAAGUUCGUUGUUUAUGCUUCAUGUAGCUGAAUACGCUAGCAUACCAUACACCUAUUCACUCUGUUCUCUAUUCUAUUGUUUUUAUCAUAACUUGCCUUUCAAGAUGAAAUGUCUGUUCUUGGUCUUGGAUUUUGUAAAAUAAAUUUUUCCCCCCAAAAUGCGACUUAUAUCGGUAUAUAUUUUUUCUUCUUCAUUAUGCAUUUUUUUUUGGCUGGUGCGACUUAUGGUCCAGAAAAUACUGUUGUUUUUGACUUGUUAUUGAACAGUAUCAAAGUUUUAACUCCUCUCAUGUCUUGUGACUAUUAAACACCUGUCAUGCAAAGAAGAUCACAAUCUUAGUUAUGUAUAAUGCAUUCACUACAUCACCAAAAAUGUGUGAAAGAAAAGCUUCCAGAUUAUUCUGCCCCUCUCCUGCCCCCUCCUCCACUUGACAUUUGAUCAGGCGCAGAGAAUCAAUAUCCGGGUUGAUCAGUGUCUUGUAAUUAUACUGAGGUAACACACUGAUAAGAGGCCAGGCUCCUGCUCGCUCACUAUCUGACUUGAUGCUAAACAAGACACAUGGACAAAAACACACACAUGCAUGCACAUACUGACCAUGUUUUGCACCACCAUGACCUGCUUUAACCCUGCAGAAAAGUAAAUGUCUUCACCACAGCACCCCCAACGGAUGGUAAAACAACACUCCAGGCCUCAACUACACCUUGAUCUCUGUUUGUUACUAACCCUUGAUUUAAACUAAUGUUUGAUUGCAGUUUCUGAAUUUUUAAUAGCCUCAUAUAAUGCACCAGUAAUCAAGAUGAAUGUGUUUAUCAGUAUACAUCACCAUUCAGAUCUUAUGGAGAAUGUAUGUUAGGAAAGGAAAGAAAGGGAGAUCAGAUAACAUCGAAUUGAAAUCCAGAACUUUUCAUUGUUUAAACUGCAUCAACCCCAAGUUUGUCAUCUUAUUUGACUAAUGGUGAAGAAAGGCAACACAUACACUCUCACAUACGUACACUCACACAUAUACACACAAAGUUAAGUGGACCAACUAUUAGAGCCAUGAUCCAUUUACUUUUAUCUGGCGGUGAUUGAGAGCUGCAUUUGCUCCCUCCCUGGCUCCUUUCAUAUUGCCUCAUUGGUGACACAUAAACCUGGCACGCUGCUUAAUGGGAUCUCAUCCAUAAUGUUGAAUGAAGGGGGCAAUCAUUUCAUGUGAAGAGAUUAAAAAUAUGAUCUCUAACAAGGGGCCCUGCUGCCCACACCGACUCCCUGUAGUCUAAUAAAUUUCAGAGAUGAGAGGGGCCUCCAGAUGUGGAUCUUUGCUUUGGAUCUGAUCGUGUGAUAGUGAACACAUCUAUUCACCUUGAAGAAAUCCAAAUACAUCCUUUAGGUCUUUCUUUUACAAUGAGUUUAGCUUUCUUUGAAUGAUUAAAAAAAUAUUCAUGUUAUUUAAUUCAUUGCCAAAAACCUCAUUUUACAAGAUUCUUUUCAUUUUGUUGUUUUACUCAUUACUGCAUACAAAAUUAAGUCUUUUUUUUCUUGCUGAUGUUACUCCAUCAUACACAUAGUGCAAUGCAUUUUGACAUGCAGCAUCUUGGCAUGCAGCCCCCUACACCAGGUUCUUUGUUAGUCCAAGGUGUACACACUUCCUGCUUCCUUAAGACACCAAACCACACCUCACUUUAAGAUCAACACACCCACAGACAAUAAUGUAGGUGCAAUUUCAUCUGCCAUUUUCACAAUACGGGUGCUGGGCUUCAAGAACUGUAACAGAAUUGAAUGGAAAUCAAUAACACCUGCUGCCCGUCAAAUACAUUGUGCUAUCUUUAACUUUGGUGGCACAGUACUUCCCUUCACAACACAGCCAUGUAGCUGUGCAGAUGAUUUUAAAUUGUAUAUGUACAAUGGAGGGAGAGAAGUUACAUGCACCACGUCCUUCCUCCUUUCAACGUGCUCUCAUCCCACUUUGUUGAAUCCAGAUGUUUUGUCCUUACCUGAUUGCUGCUGAGGAGAAUGGUGAUGAUCUGCAUGAAAAGCACCUUCCUGAAACCAACAUUGCGCAGUAGCAUUGUACACACUCUACCACUUGCGCAGUACAAUUGUACGCAUUCGGCGGGAGAGUCGCUGUAAUGAUGCUCGGCUCAAACAGCGUAUCACCCCAGUGAGCUACACAAUCUUUGUACCCCCAUAGACUGUAUCAAGUGCCAAUCAUAGAAAACAUGAACCCCCUAAUAACUUUUAAAAACGUAGCUGCACAGAAAAAACGGGAUUUGAGCACAAACCAGUCUCACAGUAUCUACAUGUCAACAUCACAAGCAGGGGGGAAAAAUUAUGUAUAUUCUAUGUAAUUAAUUUCUAAAGUUUGUCUACAACCCCAUAGGUAUUGCUGGAGGAGGCGGGAUUUAUGACCUAUACUGCAGCCCGUCACCAGAGGGUGCUGUUCUCAGGGUGGCUUCACCCAGUGAGGAGGCAGACGGCGUCCAUUCUAUAUACAGUCUAUGGUGUCGAUGGAACACAUUGCCAUGUUGAUGAGGAUUUUCUCUAUUCCCAG